CCUACGGGCGGCAGCAGUGGGGAAUAUUGGGCAAUGGGCGAAAGCCUGACCCAGCAACGCCGCGUGAAGGAAGAAGGCUUUCGGGUUGUAAACUUCUUUUGACAGGGAAGAGCAGAAGACGGUACCUGUCGAAUAAGCCACGGCUAACUACGUGCCAGCAGCCGCGGUAAUACGUAUGGUGCAAGCGUUAUCCGGAUUUAUUGGGUUUAAAGGGUGCGUAGGCUGUGAGGUAAGUCAGCGGUGAAAUGCCCCCGCUCAACGGGGUGAAGUGCCAUUGAUACUGCCUUGCUGGAAUGCGGAUGCCGUGGGAGGAAUGUGUGGUGUAGCGGUGAAAUGCAUAGAUAUCACACAGAACACCGAUUGCGAAGGCAUCUCACGAAUCCGCGAUUGACGCUGAUGCACGAAAGCGUGGGUAUCAAACAGGAUUAGAUACCCCAGUAGUC
This 443-nucleotide ribosomal RNA is filed under the name uncultured bacterium. RNAcentral describes it as "partial 16S ribosomal RNA". It matches the Rfam family "Bacterial small subunit ribosomal RNA", at positions 338 to 795 of the family's 1533-position model. The record is from RNAcentral.